AGCACCUUUGAAAUGAUCCAACUCCCCGUAUCAAGCACACCUGGUGCACUAAUCAAGGGCUUCAUUAGUUCAGGUGUGCUUGAGAUAGAACACACCUGGUCUGGCUCCGGGUUUAUUGAGAGUGACGUUUGAUUGCAUGUUAGAAAUUGUCCAAAAAGUUCAGAGAAGAGAUCGUUGCCUUGCACAAACAAGGAAAAUGAUACAAAAAGAUAGCAAAAGCACCGAAUGUCCCUAGAAAUACAGUUGGAAGCAUAGUUGGCAAGUUGAAAGUUGAAGGACCAGCGGCUACGCUACCUGGACGUGGCAGAAAGAAGAAGCUGUCAGCGGCUGCCACCAGAUUCCUGAGGAGGCAAGUGGUCAAAAACCCUCGAGUGACUGCAGAACACCUGCAGCAAGACUCGGUGGCAGCAGGCGCUGAGGUUUCAGUUUGCACAACUUCCUGUGUGGAUAGCUUCCUUGCUCCACGCUGCCAAACGCCUGAAGAGUGACUGCGCCCGUCGCAAGAAGGUCUACAGGCUCCUGCAAAGGAAACUGACACCACGAUGGUCCGCCUCCGAAAUCACCUGAAAUGUGCCUUUGCUUUCAGACGAUUCAAACUGUCCAACCACCACGGCUGUCUGCUCUCGGUGUGUUCACCCAGUCCUCUAGUUCGUUCUCUGUUUCGGGCCAGUGGCACUUUCUUCCUCUGACUGCUUUGUGAGACUUCUUGCAUCUUCUCCUUCUUGCAAGUUCUGCAGCCUCCAAUCUGGAACCAUGGACUCCUUGAUCCGUUUGAGUGCCGCAGCUCGGUUCCCCUUUCAAUGGCCACGUCAAUAGCCUUUAGUUUAAAAGCCGCUGUCACACGUUACAGCGUGUCUUCGACAUGUUUAUAUCUGGGGAUGAGCGAUGGCGGGAAUAAAUACCGAAAUCAACCACGCCCUUAUUUUAUCCGCCGGGGUCAAAGGUGAGAAUAAAGGAAAGUAACAAGUUUCGGCUUAAAACCGGCAUUUAAGGAUACUUUCAGUAUGUGUCCUGGGUUAGUUUUAAGAUGUGAGCCAAUGUAACCGGUCCAGACCUAGAGGUGUCUGGACCGGUAACAUGUGAUUCACACUGGAUUAAUGAAGAGACAUACAUCGUGGGUACGUCUUCAUCGAGCCAGCGUCAUUUCAUUCUGGCUCACGUCGCUUGGUUUGCUCCCCGGUGGCACACAUUCGCCAUCUAACGAUGUGGAGGAGUAGGUCCACGAUGCGUUUGACUGCUCAAAAACCUAUUACAUCACCACUGGAAUACAGGAGCCGCAGCAUGGACACAACAGGAAAGUAGAAACCUGAAAUAAAAGUCUGAGAAUAACCGUCUACCAUUUGAAGAGAGUGAGACACAACAUUGAUAGUUGGUCCUCACUAACCACUAUUUAACUAUUUAGACCUACAGUAUUCUUGUAAAACCCCUUAAACGGAUUAUAUAUCCCACCUGGACAGGUCUGGGAAAGUCGGGACUACCUUGCUUUACAUUGACCUGGAUAAGAGAAAAUGGACGAAAAAACUAUUUUUUUAGCAUUGACUAUUAGUUAUGAAAUAGUAUUCCCAGGUGUUCCUAUUUCUUUUCUUUGAUUCCCAGAUGUACACGGGGUCGGUGUGAAGGGGGGGGAUCGGUGCCACCCCACAUACGUCUACCCUGAGGAGGUGAAACAGUUGAUUCGUUGUGUGUUCUCACAGGACAUCUGUGACUACCCCGACCCCUGCCACGACCAGGUGGUGUACGUCACUCUGGAGGAUUUGCACAAAGUUGACAUCAACUGAAGUGUGUGUCUCUUCUUCUAUGCUGAUGAACAACUUCCAGUCAUGGAUCAGCAACAGUUUUGCAAUGUGGGAAGUUGAUUCUCGAGGGUGUUGAUUGAAAGCUUAUUUCAAGAUGUUUUACUGAGUGGUUUCAGUGUCCCUCAACAUGAAUAUUAGGGUUUACAAAUAUUGUAUAUUUAUAUUGGAUCUCCACUCUUGACAAAUUACAGCUGUCAAGCUCAAAUGCUGAUCCACUAUAAGAACCGACUACAGCAUCUGACCGUUUGUGUAGUUACAAUGCCAAGUAGAAUUCACAAUACAUUCAUUGUAUUUAAUUGUAAUUAAUAUGGAGGGACAAUUUUACUCUGUAAUACAAACAGUAAUAAAACAGUGUUUUCUGUUAUUUUUUCCAAUAAAAGAAUAAAAAGUGUUCCACUACCAAUAGGGUUGUAUUUAAUCCGAAAACAUCUAGAUGUCGAGAAGAAAACAACCUUGAAACCUUGAGGCAGCGGUGUCCAGAUUUGAUGAUGUAAAGAUGCCUGGGGGCCAAUAGUACCUUCUGACAUUUUUAACCAUAAAAGUUACAUGAGAUACACGUUCAUUGUCACCAUUAUCUAGUUUUUUUCCAAUGGCAAUGUAGCCAACGAUAUUCCACUCAGGCAGGCAUCGACAACUCUAAAAGCACUGGUUUGUCUUUUAUUCAUCAUUGAACGAACUCCAUGAAGUUGAUAAAUACCUUUUUACAUUGUGAUCCUUUUAAACAGGAUUGAAUAAAUAACUCUGCUAAAGGAGGAAUUGCAUUUUAAAGUUUCAUGGUUUAUUUAACUGUGCUAGCAGGACAUACACAAUAC
Long non-coding RNA from Gasterosteus aculeatus aculeatus (three-spined stickleback), 2608 nucleotides. Lineage: Eukaryota; Metazoa; Chordata; Actinopteri; Perciformes; Gasterosteidae. The record is from Ensembl.